This 446-nucleotide ribosomal RNA is filed under the name uncultured bacterium. RNAcentral describes it as "partial 16S ribosomal RNA". It matches the Rfam family "Bacterial small subunit ribosomal RNA", at positions 338 to 795 of the family's 1533-position model. The record is from RNAcentral.
CCUACGGGUGGCAGCAGUCGAGAAUCAUUCACAAUGGGGGCAACCCUGAUGGUGCGACGCCGCGUGGGGGAAUGAAGGUCUUCGGAUUGUAAACUCCUGUCAUGUGGGAGCAAAUUAAAAAGAUAGUACCACAAGAGGAAGAGACGGCUAACUCUGUGCCAGCAGCCGCGGUAAUACAGAGGUAUCAAGCGUUGUUCGGAAUCACGGGGCGUAAAGCGUGCGUAGGCUGUUUCGUAAGUCGGGUGUGAAAGGCGCGGGCUCAAGCCGCGGACGGCACAUGAUACUGGGAGGCUAGAGUAAUGGAGGGGGAAGCGGAAUUCUCGGUGUAGCAGUGAAAUGCGUAGAUAUCGGGAGGAACACUGAGGGCGAAGGCGGGUUCCUGGACAUUAACUGACGCUGAGGCACGAAGGCCAGGGGAGCGAAAGGGAUUAGAUACCCGAGUAGUC